UACGAAGGGGGCUAGCGUUGCUCGGAAUCACUGGGCGUAAAGGGUGCGUAGGCGGGUCUUUAAGUCAGGGGUGAAAUCCUGGAGUUCAACUCCAGAACUGCCUUUGAUACUGAAGAUCUUGAGUUCGGGAGAGGUGAGUGGAACUGCGAGUGUAGAGGUGAAAUUCGUAGAUAUUCGCAAGAACACCAGUGGCGAAGGCGGCUCACUGGCCCGAUACUGACGCUGAGGCACGAAAGCGUGGGGAGCAAACAGG
Molecule: ribosomal RNA, 253 nt
Filed under: uncultured bacterium
Lineage: Bacteria
Description: partial 16S ribosomal RNA
Rfam family: Bacterial small subunit ribosomal RNA
Source: RNAcentral